GACGAACGCUGGCGGCGUGCCUAAUACAUGCAAGUAGAACGCUGAAGGAGGAGCUUGCUUCUCUGGAUGAGUUGCGAACGGGUGAGUAACGCGUAGGUAACCUGCCUGGUAGCGGGGGAUAACUAUUGGAAACGAUAGCUAAUACCGCAUAAUAGCAGUUAUUGCAUGAUAACUGUUUGAAAGGUGCAAUUGCACCACUACCAGAUGGACCUGCGUUGUAUUAGCUAGUUGGUGGGGUAACGGCUCACCAAGGCGACGAUACAUAGCCGACCUGAGAGGGUGAUCGGCCACACUGGGACUGAGACACGGCCCAGACUCCUACGGGAGGCAGCAGUAGGGAAGCUUCGGCAAUGGACGGAAGUCUGACCGAGCAACGCCGCGUGAGUGAAGAAGGUUUUCGGAUCGUAAAGCUCUGUUGUAAGAGAAGAACGAGUGUGAGAGUGGAAAGUUCACACUGUGACGGUAUCUUACCAGAAAGGGACGGCUAACUACGUG
RNAcentral lists this ribosomal RNA (495 nucleotides) under uncultured bacterium. RNAcentral describes it as "partial 16S ribosomal RNA". It matches the Rfam family "Bacterial small subunit ribosomal RNA", at positions 28 to 507 of the family's 1533-position model. The record is from RNAcentral.